Molecule: ribosomal RNA, 494 nt
Filed under: uncultured bacterium
Lineage: Bacteria
Description: partial 16S ribosomal RNA
Rfam family: Bacterial small subunit ribosomal RNA
Source: RNAcentral
GACGAACGCUGGCGGCGUGCUUAACACAUGCAAGUCGAACGGUGAAGCGCCUUCCUUUUUGGUGGGUGUGGAUGAGUGGCGAACGGGUGAGUAACACGUGAGUAACCUGCCCCCUUCUUCUGGAUAACCGCAUGAAAGUGUGGCUAAUACGGGAUAUUCUGGGUCUGUCGCAUGAUGGGUCUGGGAAAGAUAUUGUUUCGGUGGGGGAUGGGCUCGCGGCCUAUCAGCUUGUUGGUGGGGUGAUGGCCUACCAAGGCGGUGACGGGUAGCCGGCCUGAGAGGGUGGACGGUCACACUGGGACUGAGACACGGCCCAGACUCCUACGGGAGGCAGCAGUGGGGAAUAUUGCACAAUGGGCGCAAGCCUGAUGCAGCGACGCCGCGUGAGGGAUGGAGGCCUUCGGGUUGUGAACCUCUUUCGCCAGUGAAGCAGGCCUGCCUCGUUUGUGGGUGGGUUGACGGUAGCUGGAUAAGAAGCGUCGGCUAACUACGUG